UACGGGGGGGGCAAGCGUUGUUCGGAAUUACUGGGCGUAAAGAGUGUGUAGGCGGUGCUCUAAGUCUGUCGUGAAAUCUCCCGGCUUAACUGGGAGGGUGCGGCGGAUACUAUUGUGCUAGAGGGUGGGAGAGGUAAGCGGAAUUCCUGGUGUAGCGGUGAAAUGCGUAGAUAUCAGGAGGAACACCUGCGGUGUAGACAGCUUACUGGACCACUUCUGACGCUGAGACACGAAAGCGUGGGUAGCAAACAGG
RNAcentral lists this ribosomal RNA (253 nucleotides) under uncultured bacterium. RNAcentral describes it as "partial 16S ribosomal RNA". It matches the Rfam family "Bacterial small subunit ribosomal RNA", at positions 524 to 776 of the family's 1533-position model. The record is from RNAcentral.